GGACAGGUAGCUCAGUAGGUAGAGCAUCGGACUGAAAAUCCGAGUGUCGACGGUUCGAUUCCGUCUUUGUCCA
Molecule: transfer RNA, 73 nt
Filed under: Paenibacillus polymyxa SC2
Lineage: Bacteria; Bacillati; Bacillota; Bacilli; Caryophanales; Paenibacillaceae
Rfam family: tRNA
About the family: Transfer RNA (tRNA) molecules are approximately 80 nucleotides in length.
Source: Rfam by way of RNAcentral